RNAcentral lists this ribosomal RNA (531 nucleotides) under Papilio polytes (common Mormon). RNAcentral describes it as "partial 16S ribosomal RNA". It matches the Rfam family "Bacterial large subunit ribosomal RNA", at positions 1808 to 2608 of the family's 2925-position model. The record is from RNAcentral. Lineage: Eukaryota; Metazoa; Arthropoda; Insecta; Lepidoptera; Papilionidae.
CAAAAACAUGUCUUUUUGAAAAUAAUUUAAAGUCUAAUCUGCCCACUGAUAAUUUAUUAAAGGGCUGCAGUAUUUUGACUGUACAAAGGUAGCAUAAUCAAUAGUCUCUUAAUUAGUGACUUGUAUGAAAGAUUGGAUGAAAUAUAUUCUGUCUCUAAUUAAUUUAUAGAAAUUAAUUUUUUAGUAAAAAAGCUAAAAUAAUUUUAAAAGACGAGAAGACCCUAUAGAGUUUAAUAAUUUAUUUAAUUAUUAUUAAUAUAUAAUUUUUAAAAUUAAAAUUAAAUAAAUUAUUUUGUUGGGGUGAUAGAAAAAUUAAAUUAACUUUUUUUAUUUAUUAACAUUAAUUUAUGAUUAGAUGAUCCAUUAAUAAUGAUUAAAAGAAAAAAUUACCUUAGGGAUAACAGCGUAAUUUUUUUUUUUAGUUCAAAUAGGAAAAAAAGUUUGCGACCUCGAUGUUGGAUUAAGAUAAAAUUUAAAUGCAAAAGUUUAAAAUUUUGAUCUGUUCGAUCAUUAAAAUCUUACAUGAUCUGA